This 339-nucleotide ribosomal RNA is filed under the name uncultured bacterium. RNAcentral describes it as "bacterial SSU rRNA". It matches the Rfam family "Bacterial small subunit ribosomal RNA", at positions 28 to 334 of the family's 1533-position model. The record is from RNAcentral.
GACGAACGCUGGCGGCGUGCCUAAUACAUGCAAGUCGAGCGAGUCUGCCUUGAAGAUCGGAGUGCUUGCACUCUGUGAAACAAGAUACAGGCUAGCGGCGGACGGGUGAGUAACACGUGGGUAACCUGCCCAAGAGAUCGGGAUAACACCUGGAAACAGAUGCUAAUACCGGAUAACAACAGAUGAUGCCUAUCAACUGUUUAAAAGAUGGUUCUGCUAUCACUCUUGGAUGGACCUGCGGUGCAUUAGCUAGUUGGUGAGGUAACGGCCCACCAAGGCGACGAUCGGUAGCCGGACUGAGAGGUUGAACGGCCACAUUGGGACUGAGACACGGCCCAG